CUUUCUCCGCCGGCGACCGGCGCACGGGUGAGUAACACGUAUGCAACCUGCCCCUGUCAGGGGGACAACCCGCCGAAAGGCGGGCUAAACCCGCGUACAUGCCACCGGGGCAUCCCGGAGGCAGGAAAGGCUUCGGCCGGACAGGGAUGGGCAUGCGGCGCACUAGGCAGUAGGCGGGGUAACGGCCCACCUAACCGACGAUGCGUAGGGGUUCUGAGAGGAAGGUCCCCCACACUGGUACUGAGACACGGACCAGACUCCUACGGAAGGCAGCAG
RNAcentral lists this ribosomal RNA (276 nucleotides) under uncultured bacterium. RNAcentral describes it as "partial 16S ribosomal RNA". It matches the Rfam family "Bacterial small subunit ribosomal RNA", at positions 79 to 354 of the family's 1533-position model. The record is from RNAcentral.